Molecule: ribosomal RNA, 490 nt
Filed under: uncultured bacterium
Lineage: Bacteria
Description: partial 16S ribosomal RNA
Rfam family: Bacterial small subunit ribosomal RNA
Source: RNAcentral
AUUGAACGCUGGCGGCAUGCUUUACACAUGCAAGUCGGUCGGCAGCACAGAGAAGCUUGCUUCUUGGGUGGCGAGUGGCGAACGGGUGAGUAACAUAUCGGAACGUACCGAGCAGUGGGGGAUAACUAAUCGAAAGAUUAGCUAAUACCGCAUAUCUUCUGAGGAAGAAAGCAGGGGACCAUUUGGCCUUGCGCUGUUUGAGCGGCCGAUAUCUGAUUAGCUAGUUGGUGGGGUAAAGGCCUACCAAGGCGACGAUCAGUAGCGGGUCUGAGAGGAUGAUCCGCCACACUGGGACUGAGACACGGCCCAGACUCCUACGGGAGGCAGCAGUGGGGAAUUUUGGACAAUGGGCGCAAGCCUGAUCCAGCCAUGCCGCGUGUCUGAAGAAGGCCUUCGGGUUGUAAAGGACUUUUGUCAGGGAAGAAAAGGGCGGGGUUAAUACCCCUGUCUGAUGACGGUACCUGAAGAAUAAGCACCGGCUAACUACGUG